GCACCUUACUUGAACAUGAUCUGUUCUAUAGGCUCGCACCAUUGUGUCCUUGAGUUCCAAUGAUACUUACUAUCAACCACGUCGUCCCUAGGA
This 93-nucleotide small nucleolar RNA is filed under the name Lupinus angustifolius (narrow-leaved blue lupine). Its description in RNAcentral is "snoRNA Plant_U3". Lineage: Eukaryota; Viridiplantae; Streptophyta; Magnoliopsida; Fabales; Fabaceae. The record is from RNAcentral.